Molecule: long non-coding RNA, 1219 nt
Filed under: Heterocephalus glaber (naked mole-rat)
Lineage: Eukaryota; Metazoa; Chordata; Mammalia; Rodentia; Bathyergidae
Description: lncRNA (ENSHGLG00000033602.1)
Source: RNAcentral
AAAGGAAGAAAAAAAAAUCAAAUGGAACCAGAGUGAGCAUAAGCUCAACCUAAGGAGGGACAGACAUUUGUUGCAGCCCUAACUUAGCCUACACUAACUCUCCCACUAUUUCCAUCAUGGGCCUUUUAUCCCUCUGAACUGCUGACAUGCACUUUUGUUUUAGACUUUUGUUUUAAUGGGCAGAGAUAUUUGCUGUGUAAGCCUUAGCUAGCAAUGCAGAAUAUUAAGAAGCCCACUUAUGAUUCUGAGCCACAACCCUGCAUCAAAUAUCUCAGAAGCAUUUUGUUUCCAGCAGAGUUUUUUUCAAGCUGAUGGGAAAGUGAAUGCCACGGGGCCAUAAGAAGGACAAAUAGAUCUAAGUCUGUGUACGAGGUCCCACUGAUUGGCUCUCCUUUCCAAAAGAUGAUGCUCCCCCACCAUGAGAGUCCCACACUUAAAGCUAUGAGAAAUGUGAUAGAAAAAAUGCUCACUCGGAAGGACACAGAGAAAGAUGAUCAAAAGAGAUGAUGGACACGCGGGUCAGUGAAUUGAGAGGGGAGACUUAACCUGAAUAUGGACAGAACCAUCAAAAACUCUGGAAGCCUGGAUAAAAUAAAAAGUGGGAGAUGGAAGAAAUCAGCCCGCACAUGUGGGCUCCAUUUUGCUUGACUUUACUCAUGAUCCUCAGUGGAGUCAAGAUGAAUCCACAUUAGUGAAACAAAAGAGAAGUUUUCUUUUAUACUCCACUUCUGCAAACCAAGAGUCCUACUUGUGAACAAAAGCCUUAUGAGUUGCUGGGUAAGGUGCUGAAUCUGCAUCAGAAGACCUAGGCUCAAAUCUGGUGCCCUCAUCUGCCAGCUGUGUGAAAUCCAAACAUUAUCAUGUCCCAGAUGCCCAAGCCUCCAGAAAAACCAAAAUAUGCAAGUAAUUCCAAUCUUUUCUCAAGGUCUUAAGAAAAUUCAAAUUCAAUUUGUUUUUUUUGUUUGUUUGUUUGUUUUUUGUUUUUUUGGUACUGGGGAUCGAACUCGGGACCUUGCCCUUGUGAGGCAGGCGCCGGAACCACUGAGCUAAAUCCCUGGCUCAAUUUGUAUUUUUAAUGCAAAGUUAAACUUUACAAUCCUUCUCAGACAUCUCUCUCAUGGAUAAGUUUUUCAUGAAGGAGCUAAAGGUCUCUCCACUAUCUCACUCAUUUCUUCCCUCCCAUUCAUUCUUGCCUACUCAUUCCUUCCACUAGCAGCCC